RNAcentral lists this ribosomal RNA (635 nucleotides) under uncultured bacterium. RNAcentral describes it as "bacterial SSU rRNA". It matches the Rfam family "Bacterial small subunit ribosomal RNA", at positions 152 to 774 of the family's 1533-position model. The record is from RNAcentral.
GGAUACAGGUGCUAAUACCGUAUAACACUAUUUUCCGCAUGGAAGAAAGUUGAAAGGCGCUUUUGCGUCACUGAUGGAUGGACCCGCGGUGCAUUAGCUAGUUGGUGAGGUAACGGCUCACCAAGGCCACGAUGCAUAGCCGACCUGAGAGGGUGAUCGGCCACACUGGGACUGAGACACGGCCCAGACUCCUACGGGAGGCAGCAGUAGGGAAUCUUCGGCAAUGGACGAAAGUCUGACCGAGCAACGCCGCGUGAGUGAAGAAGGUUUUCGGAUCGUAAAACUCUGUUGUUAGAGAAGAACAAGGAUGAGAGUAGAACGUUCAUCCCUUGACGGUAUCUAACCAGAAAGCCACGGCUAACUACGUGCCAGCAGCCGCGGUAAUACGUAGGUGGCAAGCGUUGUCCGGAUUUAUUGGGCGUAAAGCGAGCGCAGGCGGUUUCUUAAGUCUGAUGUGAAAGCCCCCGGCUCAACCGGGGAGGGUCAUUGGAAACUGGGAGACUUGAGUGCAGAAGAGGAGAGUGGAAUUCCAUGUGUAGCGGUGAAAUGCGUAGAUAUAUGGAGGAACACCAGUGGCGAAGCCGGCUCUCUGGUCUGUAACUGACGCUGAGGCUCGAAAGCGUGGGGAGCGAACA